RNAcentral lists this ribosomal RNA (460 nucleotides) under uncultured bacterium. RNAcentral's name for it is "partial 16S ribosomal RNA". It matches the Rfam family "Bacterial small subunit ribosomal RNA", at positions 338 to 795 of the family's 1533-position model. The record is from RNAcentral.
CCUACGGGAGGCAGCAGUGAGGAAUAUUGGUCAAUGGACGAGAGUCUGAACCAGCCAAGUAGCGUGAAGGAUGACUGCCCUAUGGGUUGUAAACUUCUUUUAUAUGGGAAUAAAACGUUCCACGUGUGGGAUUUUGUAUGUACCAUAUGAAUAAGGAUCGGCUAACUCCGUGCCAGCAGCCGAGGUAAUACGGAGGAUCCGAGCGUUAUCCGGAUUUAUUGGGUUUAAAGGGAGCGUAGGUGGAUUGUUAAGUCAGUUGUGAAAGUUUGCGGCUCAAACGUAAAAUUGCAGUUGAAACUGGCAGUCUUGAGUACAGUAGAGGUGGGCGGAAUUCGUGGUGUAGCGGUGAAAUGCUUAGAUAUCACGAAGAACUCCGAUUGCGAAGGCAGUUCACUGGACUGCAACUGACACUGAGGCUCGAAAGUGUGGGUAUCAAACAGGAUUAGAUACCCUUGUAGUC